GCUCACCCAGUCUCCACUCCUUCAAAAAAUCAUUAAAAACCCACUUCUUCAUAAAAGCGUAUCAAUUAAACUGUUAAGAGCUCCUGACUGAUUCCUCUUCUGCAACUGUCACUAGUCUAAUACUAUCCUUACCUUUUUGUGUCAUUUUACCCCACUCCCUCUAGCAUGUAAGCUCAUUGAGCCGGGCCCUCAACCCCUCUGUUCCUGUGUGUCCAACUUGUCUGGU
Pelobates cultripes (western spadefoot toad) is the source of this 226-nucleotide non-coding RNA. NCBI's taxonomy places the organism in Eukaryota, Metazoa, Chordata, Amphibia, Anura, Pelobatidae. The record is from the annotation of a GenBank genome assembly.